Molecule: long non-coding RNA, 1043 nt
Organism: Armigeres subalbatus
Lineage: Eukaryota; Metazoa; Arthropoda; Insecta; Diptera; Culicidae
Exons: 4
Source: RefSeq, a predicted model, not a curated record
UCGCACAAGAUGGCAGUUGCAACAUCCGCUGUGGGGAAAAAAGCAACAUCGAGAAGAUUGGAACCAACAAAGAAAAUAAAAGUUCGUGAACAGGCUGUGAAAACGGGAGCUCAGUCAUUCUCGCCAAUAACGGUUUCGCGUGUGAUUCUUGCGGCUGCAAGACAGUGCCGCUGGUAAAACUCAUCGGCUUGACAAGACCGCUGAAAAGGCAAGAAACCCGAGAAUCGUCACAAUUGCCACCGUCAGCAAUCAGCCCAUCUCACACGAGGCAUGAGAAAAACGGAAGCAGAUAAUCUGGGAAGGCUGUGGACAAAAUUCACGACAGGAUUUUACCCGGUGGAAAUUUAAAUCCCCGAGUGUCCAGCUUUUCGGUCAGAACGACUCACGAUCCUCGAGAGUGUCAUUCAGACUCAAACGGUGGCGACAAAUACGUUGGUCACACCAAGUGUUUGCCAAUCGAAAAGUUCACAGAAAGGUUCGCUACCGGUACUGAAUUCCUUGGUCUCUGUCGCAUUCGGGAACGAGAAGAGCCUUCCCAGGAAGGCUCUUCUUUUGUGUUUUUUUUUUGCAGUUUGAGUGUACUGCGUGAAGACCGGGAUCAACCAACCCCCUGUGUGGCAGAAGCCGCAAAACGAACACUCCGAAAGACGGACCGAGAAGAAGCGCCGGCGGGAUCGCGCUCAAGACGCGGAUCUGAAUGAUUCAGUAUCGCGGGAAACACGGAACUGAUAGGAAAAGACGGUGAGAGUGAAUCUGACCCCGCGAGGAUCUGGCAGUCGUGACGUGGUCAGCCCGAAUCCCCUUUCCAGCGGUCAGCGUUCCAGCGAUCAAGGUGCACAUCGAUCACCUACUUUUUGAGGAGAGCAAAGGUCAAUCCCACGCGACGGGAACUGUUCUUGCUGUUGGCAGGCGGGAGGUAGAGACGGGAGCGGCGGACGUGAGUUAUAACACUAAGAAGAUGAGAAGGGAAGAAGAAAGAAGAAGAAGAGCAUGCACAGUGAGCAGGAGAAUAGGGAAGUAGAAGAGGAAUGAGGUAUCGUAUG